This 465-nucleotide ribosomal RNA is filed under the name uncultured bacterium. Its description in RNAcentral is "bacterial SSU rRNA". It matches the Rfam family "Bacterial small subunit ribosomal RNA", at positions 338 to 795 of the family's 1533-position model. The record is from RNAcentral.
CCUACGGGUGGCAGCAGUCGAGAAUAAUUCACAAUGGGGGCAACCCUGAUGGUGCAACGCCGCGUGGAGGAUGACGGUCUUCGGAUUGUAAACUCCUGUCAUCUGGGAGUAAGACCUGGCUGUGAAUAGCAGACAGGGUUGAUAGUACCAGAAGAGGAAGGGACGGCUAACUUCGUGCCAGCAGCCGCGGUAAUACGAAGGUCCCGAGCGUUGUUCGGAAUCACUGGGCGUAAAGGGAGCGUAGGCGGCGUGGUAAGUCAGAUGUGAAAUCCCGGGGCUCAACCCCGGAACUGCAUCCGAUACUGCCGUGCUAGAGGAUUGGAGAGGUAGCUGGAAUUCUUGGUGUAGCAGUGAAAUGCGUGGAGAUCAAGAGGAACACUCGUGGCGAAAGCGAGCUACUGGACAAUAUCUGACGCUGAGGCUCGAAGGCCAGGGUAGCGAAAGGGAUUAGAUACCCCGGUAGUC